Molecule: small RNA, 1042 nt
Filed under: uncultured Neochlamydia sp.
Lineage: Bacteria; Pseudomonadati; Chlamydiota; Chlamydiia; Parachlamydiales; Parachlamydiaceae
Description: bacterial SSU rRNA
Rfam family: Bacterial small subunit ribosomal RNA (bases 1-489)
Source: RNAcentral
AUGGCUGUCGUCAGCUCGUGCCGUGAGGUGUUUGGUUAAGUCCAGCAACGAGCGCAACCCUUAUCAUUAGUUGCCAACACGUAGUGGUGGGAACUCUAAUGAGACUGCCUGGGUUAACCAGGAGGAAGGUGAGGAUGACGUCAAGUCCGCAUGGCCCUUAUGACUGGGGCUACACACGUGCUACAAUGGUCGGUACAAAAGGCAGCAAAGCCGCGAGGUAGAGCAAAUCCCAAAAGCCGAUCUCAGUUCAGAUUGUAGUCUGCAACUCGACUACAUGAAGACGGAAUUGCUAGUAAUGGCAGGUCAGCAACACUGCCGUGAAUACGUUCCCGGGUCUUGUACACACCGCCCGUCACAUCAUGGGAGUUGGUUUCACCCGAAGCCGCUGACUCAACCGCAAGGGGAGACGCGUCUAAGGUGAGGCCGAUGACUGGGAUGAAGUCGUAACAAGGUAGCCCUACCGGAAGGUGGGGCUGGAUCACCUCCUUUAAAGGACAGUUCAUGAUGUUUACUUCGGUAAACCACUCAUGUAACUAGGUUGGGUGAGCUCUAUUGGCCUGCAUAUUGUCUUCCUCAUACUGUUAAAUCAGCUUUACGAAUAGAGCAAUCUGUUCAAGUUAUCUUACAGGCAAAUGAUUGAUAAAAAUCAAGUAAAUCCAAAAAAAAGAAUUUUAGUUGUAAAACUAGAAUUCAGCGGAGAUUAAGUUAACUAUCGCAAGAUAAUUAACACAGUAUUAAUGUUCGAAGAUUGAAAACGGACUAACACGUCGUUAGUCUGAACGAUUUCUUCCCUACAAUAAGUAAUCACUGAUAAAAAUCGACGCUUGAGGAAAAUAUUCUUAAUUUCAAAUGGCGAAAAUAAUUAAUUUUAGACGUAGCUCAUAUAUUUUUAGUUUGUGAUCAAAAAUUUUGGUCAAGCUAUUAAGGGCUGCUGGUGGAUGCCUAGGCAUCAAUAGGCGAUGAAGGACGCGUAUACCUGCGAUAAGCUUCGGUGAGCUGGAAGAAAGCAUUGACCCGAAGAUCUCCGAAUGGGGAAACCCGG